RNAcentral lists this long non-coding RNA (475 nucleotides) under Citrus x clementina. RNAcentral describes it as "Citrus clementina (C. clementina) long non-coding RNA (CCLE_LNC000994)". Lineage: Eukaryota; Viridiplantae; Streptophyta; Magnoliopsida; Sapindales; Rutaceae. The record is from RNAcentral.
UAUUAUUAUUAUAUUAUUAUUAUUGGUGGGCUUAAAAAAACACGCCAGAUAUUUGUAUUUAGAUUCAUUCAAACUUUAGCCAAAUUCAAACAAAUUCAGAUUUCAAACAAAAAGAUAAACUCUACCCAGCGGUCUAAAUGCUUGGCCCAAUCUAAAAUAAUUUUCCUUAAUUGACCCUACACGCCAUAAGUCUAUAUGAGGCCUAAGCCUAAUCUACAAACCUAUAAAUGAUGCAACCCCAUUAGUACGGGUGUUCGCAGAUUGGAUUUUGCGGAUUGAGUAUCAAUCCAUAUACGAUCCACGAUUUUACAGAAUAUAAAUUUUCAAUUCAAUCCAAUGCACGGAUUGGUGAAACUCAAUUCAAAUCCAAUCCAUACAUAUGUGGAUUGGAUACAGAUUUGACCUAAUCUAUAUCCAUUCCACUAUUUUGUAGAUUUUUUUGCAGACUAAAAAUUUUUAAUUCUUUCCAAUCCAC